UACGUAGGGUGCAAGCGUUGUCCGGAAUUAUUGGGCGUAAAGAGCUCGUAGGCGGUUUGUCGCGUCGGCUGUGAAAACCCGGAGCUCAACUCCGGGCCUGCAGUCGAUACGGGCAGACUCGAGUGUUGCAGGGGAGACUGGAAUUCCUGGUGUAGCGGUGAAAUGUGCAGAUAUCAGGAGGAACACCGGUGGCGAAGGCGGGUCUCUGGGCAACAACUGACGCUGAGGAGCGAAAGCGUGGGGAGCGAACAGG
Molecule: ribosomal RNA, 253 nt
Filed under: uncultured bacterium
Lineage: Bacteria
Description: partial 16S ribosomal RNA
Rfam family: Bacterial small subunit ribosomal RNA
Source: RNAcentral